Molecule: ribosomal RNA, 460 nt
Filed under: uncultured bacterium
Lineage: Bacteria
Description: partial 16S ribosomal RNA
Rfam family: Bacterial small subunit ribosomal RNA
Source: RNAcentral
CCUACGGGAGGCAGCAGUGAGGAAUAUUGGUCAAUGGACGAGAGUCUGAACCAGCCAAGUAGCGUGAAGGAUGACUGAUCUAGGGGUGGUAAACUUCGUUUAUAAAGGAAUAAAACGAGGCACGUGAGCCUGAUUGCAUGGACUUUAAGAAUACAGAUCGCCUAACUCCGUGCCAGCAGCCGCGGUAAUACGGAGGAGCCGAGCGUUAGCCGGAUUUAUUGGGUUUAAAGGGAGCGUAGAUGGGUUGGUAAGUCUGUUGUGAAAGUUUGUGGCCCAACCGUAAAAUUGCAAUGGAUACUGGCGGUCUUGAGUACAGGUGAGGUAGGCGGAAUUCGUGGUGUAGCGGUGAAAUGCGUAGAUAUCACGAAGAACCCCGAUUGCGAAGGCAGCUUACUAAACUGUGGCUGACAUUGAUGCUCGAAAGUGUGGGGAUCAAACAGGAUUAGAUACCCGUGUAGUC